This 854-nucleotide long non-coding RNA is filed under the name Daucus carota (carrot). Its description in RNAcentral is "long non-coding RNA (DCAR_LNC003725)". Lineage: Eukaryota; Viridiplantae; Streptophyta; Magnoliopsida; Apiales; Apiaceae. The record is from RNAcentral.
AGAAAUUUAUAUAUAAUCGAUUAACAAUAAGGGUAACUAUAUAUUAUUUGAUAAAUUACAUAUGUGGCUGUAAAGUAAUAAAAGGUAUCAUGUCCUAUAUUUAAGUAUGGUGGGGAAUAAUUAUGUGAUAUUUAAUUAUGGUAGCACAUUAACGAAUGUUAUAUACGAUUAUGUUAGAAUAUGAUCCUGGUAAGCCCUUCUCCUAAAACCUCAAGGUGUAUGUUAAGUGACCAAUUCUCCUCAAGGUGUUAGGAGGAGGGCUUACCAGGAUCAUAUUCUAACAUUCCCCCUCACUCGAAAGCCCAUUUAUGGGUCGAGAGUGGAUCACGGGCGCCCGUCUUUUGGGGCAUAACAUUGCCUUCGUGUCCUUAACAAAUUCUGAGAAUAUUGGGGGUCACAGGGAGUCGAACUCGAGUCUCCCGCGAGCCUAGGCUCUGAUACCAUGUUAAGUGACCAAUUCUCCUAAAACCUCAAGGUGUUAGGAGGAGGGCUUACCAGGAUCAUAUUCUAACAGAUUAGCAUUUGAUCGAGUUGCAAAUCAAAAUAAAGCAGGUUGAUAGCGUAUUGUCCUCAAAUGUCAAAUUUAAACAGAACUCUUAUAUUGCUAAUUUCUUAUGAAUGCACAGAUGAUAUAUCUUUUGGCCUUUUCUCUAUGGUACACUUAACCAUCCGGUUAACAAGAACAUUAACAACCAGCUAAACUAAACGUAAAAGAAACUUUUGGAGAAAAGGUACUGAAUAUAGACACUUCCAGAAAUAGAUAUAACAUAAUUUAUUUUGCAGAUUUUCCAAGCAAGAUAACAAUGACCGGUGGUAGUCAUAAUCCUGUUUCUAAUCCUUAAGGACCAUCAAGU